This 365-nucleotide unclassified non-coding RNA is filed under the name Hevea brasiliensis (rubber tree). Lineage: Eukaryota; Viridiplantae; Streptophyta; Magnoliopsida; Malpighiales; Euphorbiaceae. The record is from RNAcentral.
AGUUCCUGCAAUUGUAACAAACACUUGUUCAAACGCAAUAACCUUAAUCAUGGAAUAUAACCUUAUCACACAGAAAGGACAGAGAGGUCACAUUAGUUGGACACAACCAUUUAUUCACCACCAAGCAAACUCAAAUGAAUUUCAGCCCCACCUACAGCUAAGCUUGCCUGUACCAACAUAGUACUUUUGAUUUAAAUAUUUCGGAAAUAGUCUCACUCAAAAGCAACUACGCAAGUAGUCUUAAAACCUUUCACCAAUCCAUUUUAAUACACAUAUAAACAGAGAUGCAUAACACAUUACCAAGUGAUAUUCACAAAAAUUGGAUAAAAUAUGAUUCAACUUACAUAGCCAUUGAACUGCUGAGC